UACAGGGGGGGCAAGCGUUGUUCGGAAUUACUGGGCGUAAAGGGCUCGUAGGCGGCCAACUAAGUCACACGUGAAAUCCCCAGGCUUAACCUGGGAACUGCGUGUGAUACUGGAUGGCUUGAAUUCGGGAGAGGGAUGCAGAAUUCCAGGUGUAGCGGUGAAAUGCGUAGAUAUCUGGAGGAACACCGGUGGCGAAGGCGGCAUCCUGGACCGGCGUUGACGCUGAGGCGCGAAAGCCAGGGGAGCAAACGGG
Molecule: ribosomal RNA, 253 nt
Filed under: uncultured bacterium
Lineage: Bacteria
Description: partial 16S ribosomal RNA
Rfam family: Bacterial small subunit ribosomal RNA
Source: RNAcentral